This 897-nucleotide ribosomal RNA is filed under the name uncultured bacterium. RNAcentral's name for it is "bacterial SSU rRNA". It matches the Rfam family "Bacterial small subunit ribosomal RNA", at positions 8 to 916 of the family's 1533-position model. The record is from RNAcentral.
AGAGUUUGAUCCUGGCUCAGGACGAACGCUUGCGGCGUGCUAAGAAAUGCAAGUCGAGCGAGGUCAGGGUGCUUGCACCCGAAGCCUAGCGGCGAACGGUCGCGUAACACGUAAGCAACCUGCCCCUAAGUGGGGGAUAGCCCGCCGAAAGGCGGAUUAAUACCGCAUGUGGACACGGACUCGCAUGGGACUGUGUCUAAAGCAGCGAUGCGCUUAGGGAUGGGCUUGCGGCCUAUCAGCUAGUUGGUGAGGUAACGGCUCACCAAGGCGACGACGGGUAGCUGGUCUGAGAGGAUGGUCAGCCGGACUGGGACUGAGAUACGGCCCAGACUCCUACGGGGGGCAGCAAUUAGGAAUCUUGCACAAUGGACGAAAGUCUGAUGCAGCGACGCCGCGUGAAGGAUGAAGGCCUUCGGGUUGUAAACUUCUUUUAAGGGGGAAGAAACAAAUGACGGUACCCCUUGAAUAAGCCCCGGCUAACUACGUGCCAGCAGCCGCGGUAAUACGUAGGGGGCGAGCGUUGUCCGAAUUUACUGGGCGUAAAGCGCGCGUAGGCGGACUUUUAAGUCGGUGGUGAAAUCUCAGGGCUCAACCCUGAAACUGCCGCCGAAACUGGGAGUCUUGAGGUAUGGAGAGGGAAGUGGAGUUCCUGGUGUAGCGGUGAAAUGCGUAGAUAUCAGGAGGAACACCCGUGGCGAAGGCGGCUUCCUGGCCAUAUCCUGACGCUGAGGUGCGAAAGCUAGGGGAGCGAACGGGAUUAGAUACCCCGGUAGUCCUAGCCGUAAACGAUGGAUACUAGGUGUUAGAGGUAUCGACCCCUCUAGUGCCGCAGCUAACGCAAUAAGUAUCCCGCCUGGGGAGUACGGCCGCAAGGUUGAAACUCAAAGGAAUUGACGG